AUUCGUUCGGGUGGAUUCUGAUCUCGUCGGUACAAGACUGAGUACAAGUCAUAGCUACGGAACUAGAGACUAUAUUAACAUUAUAUUAUACAUUAUAAGUACUGGUUUGGACUAUUGAUAGAAAAUACUAUAUUUAGUUACUUCUAGGGGGGUUUGAUAUUGUCUUUGUUUUGCUAACAAGGUAUACAUUUUGUGUCGGAGUGGAAUUAGUGUGUCCACACGGAAAGGAAGGAACAUUUAUUCGAUUCGUCUCAACUCAAACUUCAUGCAAAGGUAACUGAGGCAAAUAUGCAGUCAUUCGUCCCUUUGUUCUGACGAGAUUUAAACAGCUAUCCAAACAGCGAGGUGGGGUAAGUCUACAGCAAACAGACCUUAAUUAAAGCUGUUCUAAAAUUCCUUAUGGGAAAGAUUUAUGGGAAAAUGUGAAACAAACCAGUAUCGCAUUUUGCUGCUAGGUUUUAUGGGGAUUUUGACAUGUCGAAUAUUUUGGUCAAUACAGAUGUUUUUCAGAUGCAGGCUUUAAUGCCCUGACUGAUGACUAGUGCUGUUGCAUAUUAAGUACCCAAUUAAAGCCAAUUGGCCUUUCCCCUAAAAAGAAAAUCCCCUUCCUGAUUACAAGUAGAUAAUACUAUGUAAACUCUUUUCAGAAAAUGGUUUACCUGAGUUUGAUGUACUCCUCGUUAAUCAAAAUGCUUGAAACUAUGAAGUAUUGUUUGCAAAUCUGAACCGCUUUAAAAAAAACUUGAACGUGUGAAGUCUUUGUCCUAUGUUACAUGAGCUGAAGUAAAAAGCCUUGGCAUUUCACAUGCACACAUCUGUAUUACCAGUCAUGUGAAAUCUAGAGUUUAAGUGCUAUUUAUUGUCUUCUGUCAAUCUGAAAGUCUUGUCCUCAGAUGUAUUUACAAGUCUAUAAAACUGUUUUCCUCAAUUAUUGGCUGAUACCUAUAGCCAAUAUUCAUAUACCACAAUUGGCCGAUACCAAUGUUUUCUCAUUUCUGUACCUGUAUACCCUGGCAUAAAUUAAAUAAAAGAUGUUGCUGAUUAUGCUUCUCAUUUCAAAAAUGUUUAACUCAAUCAUUCAAAAGUGAUAUUUCUAUGUAUUUUAAUAACAAAAUAAGGAAUGGAAAAUGUAUGAAUGAUAUUAUAAAUACACAUUCCAUUUCUGUAAUUGUACAUUAUGCAAUGCCUAGAUAUAAAUGUAGUAAAUACGGUAGGUAAGUAUUUUACUGUCUUAACUGCUUUUACAAAUGUCAUUCUUGGUCUUUGGGUAAGGAGUAAUUUGCUAAGGAGUUAUUGGUUUAUUAGUUGUGUUUCUGAAGAUUAAGUGCUCACAUAUAUUUUACAGCCUUAAAAGCUAUUCAUUCUUCCAGACAGGGCAUCAGGUUCAUGUUUGGGUUCCCCAGCAAAUGUGGCAGUUAAAUUCAAAAUCUACCAGUCACUCAUCUUGGCAGCCAACCAC
Molecule: long non-coding RNA, 1459 nt
Organism: Esox lucius (northern pike)
Lineage: Eukaryota; Metazoa; Chordata; Actinopteri; Esociformes; Esocidae
Source: Ensembl